RNAcentral lists this ribosomal RNA (641 nucleotides) under uncultured bacterium. RNAcentral describes it as "bacterial SSU rRNA". It matches the Rfam family "Bacterial small subunit ribosomal RNA", at positions 9 to 651 of the family's 1533-position model. The record is from RNAcentral.
GAGUUUGAUCAUGGCUCAGGAUGAACGCUAGCGGCAGGCUUAACACAUGCAAGUCGAGGGGUAUAGUUCUUCGGAAUUAGAGACCGGCGCACGGGUGCGUAACGCGUAUGCAAUCUACCUUUCACAGAGGGAUAGCCCAGAGAAAUUUGGAUUAAUACCUCAUAGUAUAACGACUCUGCAUGGAGAUGUUAUUAAAGUCACAACGGUGAAAGAUGAGCAUGCGUCCCAUUAGCUAGUUGGUAAGGUAACGGCUUACCAAGGCUACGAUGGGUAGGGGUCCUGAGAGGGAGAUCCCCCGCACUGGUACUGAGACACGGACCAGACUCCUACGGGAGGCAGCAGUGAGGAAUAUUGGACAAUGGGCGCAAGCCUGAUCCAGCCAUGCCGCGUGCAGGAUGACGGUCCUAUGGAUUGUAAACUGCUUUUGCACAGGAAGAAACAACGCUACGUGUAGCGUCUUGACGGUACUGUGAGAAUAAGGAUCGGCUAACUCCGUGCCAGCAGCCGCGGUAAUACGGAGGAUCCAAGCGUUAUCCGGAAUCAUUGGGUUUAAAGGGUCCGUAGGCGGUUUAGUAAGUCAGUGGUGAAAGCCCAUCGCUCAACGGUGGAACGGCCAUUGAUACUGCUAGACUUGAAUUAUU